This 423-nucleotide long non-coding RNA is filed under the name Cyanistes caeruleus (blue tit). RNAcentral describes it as "lncRNA (ENSCCEG00000022779.1)". The record is from RNAcentral. Lineage: Eukaryota; Metazoa; Chordata; Aves; Passeriformes; Paridae.
AUGAAAAGCAAAAGAAGACCAGAAGAACAGGCUGCCCUUCUUCUUUCCAUUUGUAGCUACACGUUUCUGGAGGUGAUUCCUGGAACCUGGCUUCUGUUUUUCUUCCAGAUUUUGGAACCUGCCUCUGCCUUUCCUGAUUCUGCCAGGAGAAAUGUUCCUGCCUGCAUUUGGAUUUGUCUACAGAUGCCCUCUGAAAUCGUUGCCUGGUUCUUCUUGGUACUUGCUAGUGAAAACUGAUGGAAUUCUGUGCUACUGGAAACUAAUUGUCUCUCUUGUUUGGUACUUUGCUUGCAGCCUGUGCCCUGUAAAAAAUUAAAGAGAAUUUAUUCAAUCAACUGAAUGUAUGACAAUUUAGCAAACAGGAACUUUUGCUGUUUUCAUUGUUUUCUUCCCCAAAAUCUAAUUUAAACCCACGUUCCUCUG